UACGGAGGGGGCUAGCGUUGUUCGGAAUUACUGGGCGUAAAGCGCACGUAGGCGGAUCUUUAAGUCAGGGGUGAAAUCCCGGGGCUCAACCCCGGAACUGCCUUUGAUACUGGGUAUCUGGAGGUCGAGAGAGGCGAGUGGAAUUCCGAGUGUAGAGGUGAAAUUCGUAGAUAUUCGGAGGAACACCAGUGGCGAAGGCGGCUCGCUGGCUCGAUACUGACGCUGAGGUGCGAAAGCGUGGGGAGCAAACAGG
RNAcentral lists this ribosomal RNA (253 nucleotides) under uncultured bacterium. Its description in RNAcentral is "partial 16S ribosomal RNA". It matches the Rfam family "Bacterial small subunit ribosomal RNA", at positions 524 to 776 of the family's 1533-position model. The record is from RNAcentral.